RNAcentral lists this unclassified non-coding RNA (334 nucleotides) under soil metagenome. RNAcentral describes it as "partial contains 5.8S ribosomal RNA, internal transcribed spacer 2, and large subunit ribosomal RNA". The stretch from base 1 to 120 matches the Rfam family "5.8S ribosomal RNA", at positions 35 to 154 of the family's 154-position model. The record is from RNAcentral.
GAUGAAGAACGCAGCGAAAUGCGAUAAGUAAUGUGAAUUGCAGAAUUCAGUGAAUCAUCGAAUCUUUGAACGCACAUUGCGCCCCCCAGUAUUCUGGCGGGCAUGCCUGUUCGAGCGUCAUUUCAACCAUCAAGCCCUGCUUGUGUUGGGGUCCUGCGGCUGCCCGCAGGCCCUGAAAACCAGUGGCGGGCUCGCUAGUCACACCGAGCGCAGUAGCACAUCUCGCUCAGGGCGUGCGGCGGGCUCCAGCCGUUAAAGCACCCACCUUUCGCAAGGUUGACCUCCGAUCAGGUAGGAAUACCCGCUGAACUUAAGCAUAUCAAUAAGCGGAGGA